AAUAGAUAUAAGCUCACAUAUAAGAAGUAACUAGAACAAUUUUGUAUUUUAAAAAAAAUUGAGUUGUUAAUGAAAGUAAAGUAAAUAGCGUUUGGAUGGUUAGUAGGAAUAAGAAUUAUAAUUUUAAAUUAAAAUUAUUUUAUAUAAUUAAUUAAAAUUAAAAUAUUAAUUAAAUUAAUAAGUUUUUAGCUGUGAAUAAAGUAUAAGAUAAUAAAAAUGUAUUAAUUAAUUUAAUUUAAUUUAAAAUAAUUUAGCUUUUUAAUUAGUUAGUAAAUUAUUUUAAUUAGAUAACUAAUAAAAAAAAUAAUUAGAUUAAUAAAAAUAUUAAUGGUUGAUCAAUAUAAAUAUUGGUUUAUAGAUAAACAUAUUAAAUUAUUAAUAAUUAAUUAGCUAAUUAAUUAUAUGUAAUAAAUAAAUAAAUUACUUUAUUAUUGAAGCAAUGAAUAAUAAUUUAAAUAUAUUAAUUAGAUUAAUUAAUGAUCUAAUACCAUAAUUAAAAUUAAAUUUAGAUUUUAAUUAAUUUUGUUUCUUGAGAAAAAGCUUAUUUCAGGAAAAAUGGUGGAAAAACAAUUCCAGACUUUUACUGAAUUAUACCAUCUUAUUUCAAUUAUUAAAGAUCCGAGAACUACUAUUCUCGGACACGAAAAUUAUGUUUGAAAAUAAAAGAGGGAAUAAGGGCUUAUUCCUCCCGUUGUUCCCGAAUCAAACGCUGUCUUAGAGAUGCCUUAAAAGCCGAAUGCUAAUUCAUUACCCUAAAGCAAGCAACAAGAACAUCACAAAACUUCCAAUUUAAUAUAUGGUGAAAUUACGACACACUUUGGUCCUGUUUGUUUGGGUGGAAGUAUAAAGGGUGAGUCAUUUCCUACCAUAAAUGAUCACUUUUGCUAUUUGUUUAGCCGUAAUAAAGAUACGAUCGAAACUCGAGUUGCUCGGAACAGCGUAAUUGACUUCGACCCACUCCGGGCCCACAUUAAUUGCGAUGAAGAAAGGUGAAAAAAAAUAAUAAAAUAAUACAAUAAGUAAUGCUAGUUAUAUUUAAAUAUAUUUAACUAUGGCAUUAAUUAUUUUUUAUUUAGUUUGCAUGGUUCAAAUAUGAUUAAAUUUGAUUAGUUAAGUUUUAUUAUUUCCUUCAUAUAGUUUUUACAUCUUAAAUAUGAUGAAAAUUGAAUAGUUAAGUAUUUAUAUAUAUAUUUUUUUACUUUAUAAUAUAUUGUUGUAUUAUAUAUAAUUUAUGUAUAAAAAAAUAAUUAAUUUGUUUUAGUUUAAAUUUUUUUAAUUAAAUAGGAACAUAAUUAUAUUAUUUUUAUUUAUUAUAUUAUAAUUUAUUAUUUAUAUAUAAAUUAUAGUUUUAUAUUAUUCACUUUCUCCCCAACAAACAGUAAAACGGAAGGAACUUCAUUUUCAUAACUAUGAAACAAACAGCAUGGCACAAGUAAUUUUUAUCGAACUUCACUUGAACUCAAAAUUUACUUCUACCAAAAGUGCAGUUUCGGUGAAACAAACAGACCCGUAUCCAAGCCAUAUAU
RNAcentral lists this long non-coding RNA (1526 nucleotides) under Ananas comosus (pineapple). RNAcentral's name for it is "long non-coding RNA (ACOM_LNC025751)". The record is from RNAcentral. Lineage: Eukaryota; Viridiplantae; Streptophyta; Magnoliopsida; Poales; Bromeliaceae.